RNAcentral lists this small nuclear RNA (125 nucleotides) under Panthera leo (lion). RNAcentral describes it as "U2 spliceosomal RNA (ENSPLOG00000020144.1)". It matches the Rfam family "U2 spliceosomal RNA". Rfam says of the family: U2 is a small nuclear RNA (snRNA) component of the spliceosome (involved in pre-mRNA splicing). Lineage: Eukaryota; Metazoa; Chordata; Mammalia; Carnivora; Felidae. The record is from Rfam by way of RNAcentral.
AUCGCUUCUCGGCCUUUUGGCUAAGAUCAAGUGUACAAUAGAGUGCCUAUAAUUAAUGAUAUGGUAUUUUGCACUUCAAAAUAUGAUUUUCUUAAUUCACUCUGUCAAGAAGGAUAGAAGAAUAU